RNAcentral lists this ribosomal RNA (74 nucleotides) under uncultured Acidobacteriaceae bacterium. RNAcentral describes it as "partial 16S ribosomal RNA". Lineage: Bacteria; Pseudomonadati; Acidobacteriota; Terriglobia; Terriglobales; Acidobacteriaceae. The record is from RNAcentral.
UCCCUUCGCGGAGUGGUAAAGUGGCGUACGGGUGAGUAACACGUAAGUAAUCUACCUUCGAGUGGGGAAUAACA